UUAAGUUCAGCGGGUAUUCCUACCUGAUCCGAGGUCAACCUGAGAAAAAUUGUGGUUGAGACCGAGCCGGGAGACCGCCACGAUGCGUGCUGGAGAGCUCGCUGCACCAGGGGUCAACAGACUCCGCCACUACAUUUCCGGCCCACCGACACGCGAUGAGGCCUAAUGACAAGCCGGGCUUGAGGGUUGAUAAUGACGCU
This 200-nucleotide unclassified non-coding RNA is filed under the name Ascomycota sp. RNAcentral's name for it is "partial internal transcribed spacer 2". Lineage: Eukaryota; Fungi; Ascomycota. The record is from RNAcentral.